CCUACGGGAGGCAGCAGUGAGGAAUAUUGGGCAAUGGACGGAAGUCUGAACCAGCCAUGCCGCGUGCAGGAAGACGGCUCUAUGAGUUGUAAACUGCGUUUGUACAAGGGUAAACCUGCAUUCGUGUAUUCAGCUGAACGUACUGUACGUAUAAGGAUCGGCUAACCCCGGGCCAGCAGCCGCGGGAAUACGGAGGAUAGAAGCGUUAUGCGGAUUUAUUGGGUUUAAAGGGUGCGUAGGCGGGUUGAUAAGUUAGAGGUGAAAUGUCCGGGCUUAACUCGGGAACGGCCUUUGAUACUGGUGAACUAGAGGGUAGAAGCGGUAAGCGGAAUGUAAGGUGUAGCGGUGAAAUGCUUAGAGAU
RNAcentral lists this ribosomal RNA (362 nucleotides) under uncultured bacterium. Its description in RNAcentral is "partial 16S ribosomal RNA". It matches the Rfam family "Bacterial small subunit ribosomal RNA", at positions 338 to 697 of the family's 1533-position model. The record is from RNAcentral.